UGGGGAACCUGCCCCAUAGUCUGGGAUACCACUUGGAAACAGGUGCUAAUACCGGAUAAGAAAGCGGAUCGCAUGAUCAGCUUUUAAAAGGCGGCGUAAGCUGUCGCUAUGGGAUGGCCCCGCGGUGCAUUAGCUAGUUGGUAAGGUAAAGGCUUACCAAGGCGAUGAUGCAUAGCCGAGUUGAGAGACUGAUCGGCACAUUGGGACUGAGACACGGCCCAAACUCCUACGGGAGGCAGCAGGU
Molecule: ribosomal RNA, 244 nt
Filed under: uncultured Lactobacillus sp.
Lineage: Bacteria; Bacillati; Bacillota; Bacilli; Lactobacillales; Lactobacillaceae
Description: partial 16S ribosomal RNA
Rfam family: Bacterial small subunit ribosomal RNA
Source: RNAcentral